AUCAGUGAUGCCAGACUUCUGCAGAUGCAGAGAGCUGAAAGAGAGGCCAUGGAAGCAAAGCAAAGAAAGAUAAGUGCUAUCCAUGAGAAUUAUGUCCGGACUGCUCUCAUCGGGGUUGGCAGCACCUUCGCGCACCACUUCGUCCCCUCUAUUCAGUGCAUUCCGCGGCCGAAAGCUCCACCGAGGCCUUUGCCACGAAGGCUUGAGCACAUAGCUCUGGCCCCACUGAAGAACGUGGUGGGGGUGGACGGAGCCCAAGUUCGACCCGGAUCUCACUCUCUGGAGUCCAUCCAGGUAAAUAAGUCAUUCAGCAGCAGUAGCGUGUGGCCUGUUCCCGUCCCUCCCACUGCAGCUCCCUCCAAGAGGGGAAAGAAGAAGAAGGGCAGGCGGGGAGUCAAAGCCCUGAAAGUCCAGUCGGACCAGGGCUGUGCUGACAACAACGGACCCAUUGACCUGAUGGAGGAGGUGAGGGACAUCGAGGCUCACCUGAAGGAGGAGGACUGGAAGGUGGUACAUGAGGUGAAGGCCAUGGGCAGGAGAAGUUUGGGCUCGGUCAUGUCCACGGGGGAAAUAGCAACCAGCUCUCUGGGAAGCCUGAGCUCAGUGGAUAUGAACACCCCUGCGGAGCUCCGUGACUACUUGGAUGUCGGGACCCCGGUCAAGUCGCUUGACAGCCCACCCAGGCCUGCUCCCCCUCCUACCAAGCCCAGGAGCAAACAGCCUCGGCCUAUAAGGUUCCUUAGCCUGCCAAAGGCUGCCACCGGCUCAGACAAGAUGGCAGCCAGUGAGCCAAAGGGUCAAAUUAAGAACCAGGCCAGAUUGCAGCCCCUGUCCAACCCAGAGCAGGCCCUGACUAAGACCUUCAAGCUGCUCCACUCUGCCUCUGAUGACUGGGAGAAGAAGAUCGAGGGCUUGACCACUCUCCGUGUGAUGGCUCAGAACCACAUGGACAUACUGAUGCCUAAACUCCAUGAUAUCUGCCUUGCCAUUAUAAAUGAGGUGAAGAACCUGCGCUCUGCAGUGUCCUGUGCUGCCAUGGCCACACUGGGUGACAUGUACGUGCACCUCCAGAGGGCCAUGGACAGUGAGGUGGAGGGGACGGCACGCGUGCUGCUGCACAAAGCCAGCGAGGCCAACGCCUUCAUCCGGCAGGGCGCCAACUUUGCCCUGGGUCACAUGGUGCAGAGCUGCACCCCUACACGUGUCAUGAAUGCCCUGCUGGUCGGUGGGCUGAGCCACCGUAACGCUGCGGUGAGGAGCUGCACUGCUCAGCACCUGGAGAGACUGGCUGAGGUCAUGGGGACGGCUCGUCUCCUGUCGGGGAAGAAAGACCUCACUGACCGUUUCUUGAUUGCCGUCAGUAAACUGGCUGUGGACCCUUCACAGGAAGUCAGGCAUCAUGGUCGCAAUAUCUUGAGCAACAUGGCCACCAAUGGCGACUUUCCUAAAAUGUGGGACAAAUUCGCUCCGAGGAAAGAGAGAGAAUCCUUGAGGGAGGUCAUCUCGAAGGUUAACCUCAAAGAAAGGUACAUUCUCUCUGGAUGAUUAGAAGAAGUGUAACAAAUGAGCUGAUAUGAUUACAGAAAUCCAAUCCCACUGGGCACAGAAAUCAGAUCCAUGUCUAGUUUGAUUUAAAUUUGGGAAAUCAACCAAAAAUGCUGGUUAAAAGUUGGGUGAAUAAAAUCCAAUUGAGUUUUCAGCGUUGAUUCACCGUCAUCACAUAGAUUUUCUUGUUGUUGAAAUGAGGUGGAAAAGUUUAUUCAACCAGUUUUGGCCCAAAGGGAUGAAUUUAAUAUACUUGUCACAACUCUUACCGAAGGUGGCUCCCCUUCCCGUUCGGGUGGCGCUCGGCGGUCGUCAUCACCGGCCUACUAGCUGCCACUGAUUCUUUCCUCCCCCUCCUUGUCUGUUUAUUGGUUACACCUGUUGUGUAUUUGCUGAUUAGUUGGGCUUUAUUAGCCAGCCGGCCCGCCUGCUCUUUGUGCGGGAUUGUUUUGUGUAACUUGUGUGCACGUCUGUGGGUUACAUGUUUCCCAUUUCGUGGGUUUUGCUGGACAGUUUAAGUCCCUGUGUUUUCGUGGGGUUGGCUUAUGUUCGCCGUUUUGUGCAUUAAAUUAGCACUACCCUGAACUCUCUGCUUCCUGCGCCUGACUUCUCACCCACUACACCCAGAACGUUACAAUACUGUAAGAUUAUAUCUUUCUGUCUUUUCUCUUUUUCAACAGGAAUAUCUGAAUCAUCCCCAACUUGACUAUAUAUUUGUAUCUAAAUAUUUGCACAUUUCCCAACUUGACUAUUAUCCCCUCCAGCCCCCAAACUCCAAUAUUUUCUCUCAUUCUAAGAAAUUUGACACUAUCAUCCAACCCCCAUGUAAAUGCAUCUUUAAACUGCAUUGACUCCUUGUCCAAGUUCUGAAUCCACUAUUAGGCCAUAUGAACCACAUUCAAAGCACUAAAUUACCUUUCCUCGAAGCUCCUAUCUGAUCUACCAGCUCAAUAGUGGUCUACUGAAACCAUACUCACCAUCUCAGGGGGUGCAAAGACCAUCAACCACUGACCUCCACACCAUCCUCAAAACCAGCAGUCCUCUUUUGGAGACAGAUUGGUCAGUGCUCCUGUAUGGCACCAACAUUGUGGAUUUUCAUCCAAUACUUCUGGACUAUGGGAACAUUCUUUGGACAAUAAAAUGAGGACCUGAGCCCUAGGACCAUGCCUCAACUCUCUAGAGACAGCAGGAGUGACCCCACACUCAUCGCUAGAGAUCGAACUUCAGACUCGCUCCAAAACCACUGAACCCCUCAACACACCGAAAGAGAUUACGAUAUACCCCCUUAGAGUGAGCCGGAACAGGAUAACUCCCUCCACCAUCACAAAGACACAGAGGAGGAGGAACUAUCCAACACCCAGGGAGAGAGAACGAGUGACCUCAGUCGAACACAGCCAGAAAGAGGAGGUGGAAGAGGUGUUAGAUAGAGGAUGUGAGCAAGAAAGAGCAGAAGGCUUCUGGUCAGCCAAAUGGCAGGCAGAGGGAGAGGUCAUAGUGAUUCACACCCACAGAGAGAAAGACAACCCACACAACCUCUUGGUUGAGAUGAACCGCACAGCGUUAGAGGCAGAGGGCUUUCAGCGCUAGCCAGUCAGCCUGCCUGCUCUGAUCCUCAAGUCAAUUGUAUUUAAAUUCAUGUUCAUUAAAGAUUUUUAUUCAAGAAUUGAAAAGUCCCAUUUACUUAAUGAUCAUUUUUCACUGUCUUCAACCCUCAAGAACCAGGGUUAGUCUGGGUCACCCUUUUACUGGGCAAACACAACUUGCAUAUCAUCAUAGACUAGGCCGAAACGUUAAUCUUUUAACCUUGCCUGAAUAAAACAAUGCAUUGUUUUUAUAGUGAGCAAGAGUUGCGCUUUUUCCUUUUCUAUGAUGAUGAUCACAUUUUUGGUUGCACCUCAACUCAACGUUGGUUGAGCGCCCUCUGUUUUUUUGUUGUCAAAUAAUACAUAUAUUUUUUAAUGUACAAAGUCAAUUAUUCAAAGCAUUAAAAUUGUAAUGUUUCCAACUUAUUUAUACAACCUACUCCACACUUACAAAGUGAAAGUUUAUAGAAAUUCUGAAAUUAAGUAGUAAACAAGAAAAGCAGAAUUGAGUCCAAUUAUAAUGCAAAUAAUUUAAUGGUCUAUGGUUCAAUCCCAUUUCUGAAGGUCUGAUGAAUAAUUAAUAUUGUUCCUCCUCUUCCUUGUGGCAGGCGCAGCAGCACACUGCCCUCCAAAGCCUGCAAAAUAAUCGCUCGACUGCCCCUUUCCUAGCUCUGCAUGGAACAUCCAGUGUCACAUCCUUGGUGACGUGUGGGGUGACAUCCGGGAUGACCACAGCAACAUCCUCUGGAAAGGGAAAAAAGAGGAUCAGGAUGUAAACAAAUGCAAACCGUAGCUUCUUAACACUGUCCAGUUGAAAGGUUCUGCUAAGAUGUCAUGACAAACGGCACCUGUCAGAGUGCUCUCUAAGUGUUACUCACCUGCUUGGAUGUCAGCUGGCAGAGUGUCGAAGACGGCCAUCGUGAGAGUCCUUUCUUCAGGUGUGACAUGCUCAAUCGAUCCUAUUUAUUUGUACUGAAAUUUGAUCUUUUUUUUUCUCUGCUGCUACUCGUGUUUUACAGAAACACGUUUGAGUGGGUUUUCUACAGUCUGGCGCAUGUUGACACAAGAUGGAGAAUGCAUAUGCUGCAAACCAGCACAACUAUCACGCAUCAACUAUAGACGAGUUUCACUCACUACUGCAGUUUGGAGUUAGGUUGAUGUUAGAGGCUACUGGAGGAAGUUAUGGGGCAUACUUGAACUCUUUAAGGGAACAUGAACCUUUCUACUCCUGCAAAUUAUGACUAAUAACCCUAAUCAAAUUUUACGAGAUGGGUUUUUGAAUGCAGUACUGUAUUUUCAUUGAAAUGGCAGAUUUGUAUGAUUUCACACAAAAAAAUGUAUGUAAUGCUUCCCACAAAGAAAUUAUUUUACUAUUUUGUUUCAAAUGGUCCCUCUGGCAUGCAUAUUUCUGUAUGAUUUAACACAUGUUUGAAUCCCACUUCCUUGAUAUUUUUAAGUUAAUUUUAGUCCUCCUCCUUGCAUGUUUUGUUCCAUACCUGUGCCUUGGAGAAAACAACUAUAGCCCUCCAAGUCUAAUACGCUAUACACAACAGCAGCCUACAGUGUUAACUUAUUGAGAAUGUAUAUCAUUGUAUUUAACAUUCAAACCUCUUUUGAACUCUUCAGAUCUUAACCGGAUCAAACUGGAAUGUUAAUAUAUUACCCUAAGUCAAACUGGUUUUGGUGUCUUAGACACAAAAGGUUGUUUUCUCCUCAUAGUAAAAACACUGUUUCAUGGUUUGGAUUAAAAACACUGGGUAUUUGUUACGUA
Oncorhynchus kisutch (coho salmon) is the source of this 4899-nucleotide RNA transcript. It is a transcript of the gene named TOG array regulator of axonemal microtubules protein 2-like, with no coding region annotated. The transcript is spliced from 9 exons. The record is from RefSeq and is a predicted model, not a curated record. NCBI's taxonomy places the organism in Eukaryota, Metazoa, Chordata, Actinopteri, Salmoniformes, Salmonidae.